RNAcentral lists this ribosomal RNA (109 nucleotides) under Acidobacteriota bacterium. Its description in RNAcentral is "Acidobacteria bacterium (freshwater metagenome) partial 23S ribosomal RNA". It matches the Rfam family "Bacterial large subunit ribosomal RNA", at positions 2820 to 2925 of the family's 2925-position model. The record is from RNAcentral. Lineage: Bacteria; Pseudomonadati; Acidobacteriota.
CAAGUCCCUGAAGGCUCCAAGUAGACCACUUGGUCGAUAGGUCGGGUGUGGAAGCGUAGCGAUACGUUCAGCUAACCGAUACUAAUCAGCCGUGAGGCUUGACCAUUUA